Molecule: non-coding RNA, 23 nt
Filed under: Arabidopsis thaliana (thale cress)
Lineage: Eukaryota; Viridiplantae; Streptophyta; Magnoliopsida; Brassicales; Brassicaceae
Source: RNAcentral
GAUCAGUGAAAGUGGUAAGUUGC